Long non-coding RNA from Cucurbita moschata (crookneck pumpkin), 780 nucleotides. RefSeq lists it as uncharacterized. NCBI's taxonomy places the organism in Eukaryota, Viridiplantae, Streptophyta, Magnoliopsida, Cucurbitales, Cucurbitaceae. The record is from RefSeq and is a predicted model, not a curated record. The transcript has 3 exons.
GGAAUACUCAAAAGGUUUAGAGUAGAGUUUGAGCUUAAUAUGACAGUGAUUUCAGACAAUGUUUAUAUCCCUAUUAUGGAUUCUCUGUUCUUACAAGUUGGGGGAAGAAUCACCUCGCAUAGAAGCAAAUCCUCUUCCGGAGACCAACCCCCUUUCUUAAAAUCAGAAUUCAAGUAUGUGUACCAUCUGAAACGCAAAUUCCCAUACGCCAUUCAUAUCAGUGAAACUCGAUGAACCCAGAAGUAAACAACAACUGUUUGAAUCAGUCGAUUACAUCAACAAUCAAUCAGAUUAACAAGGAAGAAGAAGAAGAAGAAGAAGAUAAACACAGAAUCAAUGAGAGAGAGAGAGAGUUCAUACUUCUCUGUUCCAUGUUGAUUAAUCUGCUCUCGGAGAAUAUCAUCCUCCUGAAACUCCAAGAACCCAAAUCAGAAACCACAGCCAAAAGGAUCUCUACAAGAAUCAAAAAGUAAGAAAUGGAAACCUGUUGAGUCCAGGAAACGAUGUGUCGUUCCUUCUUCUUGGAAUCUUCAGUGCUAGUGUCUGAAUCCAAACAAACAGAACCGCCAUGGAUCACGAGGACAAAGCAACGAUCAAUCACGAAUCCAAUCCAAUCAGAACUACAAAAUGAGAAGCCUGAAUCAAAACAAACACAAACACAGCCACCGUGAUUGUGAUUGUAAUCUUGUUCCUCGUAAUCCAAGAAACAGUGAUUAAGAAGAGGAACGUAGAGAUCUAUGAGUGGAAGAAAGAAAUCGGUUUCUGCAAGCUUGAAAUCAA